ACCUACGGGGGGCAGCAGUGGGGAAUAUUGGACAAUGGGCGCAAGCCUGAUCCAGCAAUGCCGCGUGUGUGAAGAAGGCCUGCGGGUUGUAAAGCACUUUAAGCCGGAAAGAAGGGCGAAAGGUUAAUACCCUUUUGCAUUGACGUUACCGGCAGAAUAAGCACCGGCUAACUCCGUGCCAGCAGCCGCGGUAAUACGGAGGGUGCGAGCGUUAAUCGGAAUUACUGGGCGUAAAGCGCGCGUAGGCGGUUCGUUAAGUCAGCUGUGAAAGCCCCGGGCUUAACCUGGGAAUGGCAGUUGAUACUGGCGGGCUAGAGUGUGGUAGAGGGGUGUGGAAUUUCCGGUGUAGCAGUGAAAUGCGUAGAGAUCGGAAGGAACACCAGUGGCGAAGGCGGCACCCUGGACCAACACUGACGCUGAGGUGCGAAAGCGUGGGGAGCAAACAGGAUUAGAUACCCCUGUAGUCCU
RNAcentral lists this ribosomal RNA (468 nucleotides) under uncultured bacterium. Its description in RNAcentral is "bacterial SSU rRNA". It matches the Rfam family "Bacterial small subunit ribosomal RNA", at positions 337 to 797 of the family's 1533-position model. The record is from RNAcentral.